RNAcentral lists this ribosomal RNA (274 nucleotides) under uncultured bacterium. RNAcentral's name for it is "partial 16S ribosomal RNA". It matches the Rfam family "Bacterial small subunit ribosomal RNA", at positions 28 to 295 of the family's 1533-position model. The record is from RNAcentral.
GACGAACGCUGGCGGCGUGCUUAACACAUGCAAGUGGAGCGACGAACCAGGCUUCGGCCUGGGGCAAAGCCGCGAACGGGUGAGUAACACGUGGGUAACCUGCCCCAAUGAUCGGGACAACCCGGGGAAACCCGAGCUAAUACCGAAUGUGCACCUGCCACAUCAGUGGCAGUUGGAAAGGAAGCUUCGGCCUCCGCAUUGGGAUGGGCCCGCGGCCCAUUAGCUUGUUGGUGAGGUAAUGGCUCACCAAGGCUGCGAUGGGUAGCUGGUCUGA